Molecule: non-coding RNA, 317 nt
Organism: Parasteatoda tepidariorum (common house spider)
Lineage: Eukaryota; Metazoa; Arthropoda; Arachnida; Araneae; Theridiidae
Source: RefSeq, a predicted model, not a curated record
UCUCGUGGUUUUCUUCUUCAUAUAAAGCAAAUACUGGUUAGUUCCAUCAAAAAGUCCUCCACGAAGGCGAAUUUUUCCCAAUACAUGACAUUAGGAGUUCUUUUACAUCUGGAUUGAGUUCAAAAUUAUAAGGCUACGGAGUUGAACAAUGGCAUGGAAGCACGUAUGAGUUGGUUGAUUCUGAAGAGCAAUGGAGAGAAAUUCAAAGACAGCAAGAACAGAUACAAGCAAGAACAACGCAAGCAGCAGUUGUAAGAAAUUUGUCAAAAAGGAGAAGUGGGUAUUUGAAUUUUGGAUUAGAAACAGAAUCAGAAUCC